UGGGGAAUUUUGGACAAUGGGCGCAAGCCUGAUCCAGCCAUGCCGCGUGCGGGAAGAAGGCCUUCGGGUUGUAAACCGCUUUUGUCAGGGAAGAAAUCUUCUGAGUUAAUACCUCGGGAGGAUGACGGUACCUGAAGAAUAAGCACCGGCUAACUACGUGCCAGCAGCCGCGGUAAUACGUAGGGUGCAAGCGUUAAUCGGAAUUACUGGGCGUAAAGCGUGCGCAGGCGGUUUUGUAAGACAGAGGUGAAAUCCCCGGGCUCAACCUGGGAACUGCCUUUGUGACUGCAAGGCUUGAGUGCGGCAGAGGGGGGAUGGAAUUCCGCGUGUAGCAGUGAAAUGCGUAGAUAUGCGGAGGAACACCGAUGGCGAAGGCAAUCCCCUGGGCCUGCACUGACGCUCAUGCACGAAAGCGUGGGGAGCAAACAGGAUUAGAUAGCCCUGGUAGUCCACGCCCUAAAACGAUGUCAACUGGUUGUUGGGAAGGUUCCUUCUCAGUAACGUAGCUAACGCGUGAAGUUGACCGCCUGGGGAGUACGGCCGCAAGGUUGAAACUCAAAUGAAUUGACGGGGU
Molecule: ribosomal RNA, 574 nt
Filed under: uncultured bacterium
Lineage: Bacteria
Description: partial 16S ribosomal RNA
Rfam family: Bacterial small subunit ribosomal RNA
Source: RNAcentral